This 28-nucleotide small RNA is filed under the name Bombyx mori (domestic silkworm). Its description in RNAcentral is "ovarian small RNA-23768". The record is from RNAcentral. Lineage: Eukaryota; Metazoa; Arthropoda; Insecta; Lepidoptera; Bombycidae.
UAUCUCUGUUUUAAAAUGUCUCAUGCCU